AACGAACGCUGGCGGCAUGCCUAACACAUGCAAGUCGAACGAGACCUUCGGGUCUAGUGGCGCACGGGUGCGUAACGCGUGGGAACCUGCCCUUAGGUUCGGAAUAACUCCCCGAAAGGGGUGCUAAUACCGGAUAAUGUCUUCGGACCAAAGAUUUAUCGCGUGUGGAUGGGCCCGCGUUGGAUUAGCUAGUUGGUAGGGUAAAAGCCUACCAAGGCGACGAUCCAUAGCUGGUCUGAGAGGAUGAUCAGCCACACUGGGACUGAGACACGGCCCAGACUCCUACGGGAGGCAGCAGUGGGGAAUAUUGGACAAUGGGCGAAAGCCUGAUCCAGCAAUGCCGCGUGAGUGAUGAAGGCCUUAGGGUUGUAAAGCUCUUUUACCCGGGAUGAUAAUGACAGUACCGGGAGAAUAAGCUCCGGCUAACUCCGUG
RNAcentral lists this ribosomal RNA (433 nucleotides) under uncultured bacterium. Its description in RNAcentral is "partial 16S ribosomal RNA". It matches the Rfam family "Bacterial small subunit ribosomal RNA", at positions 29 to 507 of the family's 1533-position model. The record is from RNAcentral.